This 107-nucleotide small nuclear RNA is filed under the name Aotus nancymaae (Ma's night monkey). Lineage: Eukaryota; Metazoa; Chordata; Mammalia; Primates; Aotidae. The record is from RNAcentral.
GUGCUCGCUCUGACAGCACAUAUUCUAAAAUUAGAAUGAUACAGAGAAGAUUCCUAUGGCCCCCAUGCAAGGAUGACACACAAAUUCAUGAAGAGUUCCAUAUUUUU